RNAcentral lists this unclassified non-coding RNA (1548 nucleotides) under Amphibalanus amphitrite. RNAcentral's name for it is "protein obstructor-E-like, transcript variant X3". Lineage: Eukaryota; Metazoa; Arthropoda; Thecostraca; Balanomorpha; Balanidae. The record is from RNAcentral.
GGCAGUGGCAGGUCAGGCGGCGCUGACGGCUGGCGGUCGGGCAGGGUUCGGUACAGACUAGCGCCGGUGCUGGCCGGUAGCCUCUGGCGGUCACGCAAGAGGCGCGCUGGCAUGGACUGAGGCACGCCGGCCGGUCAGGACUAGGCCCGGGGCGGUGGCGGCGGUGACGGCCGUGGCGGCGGUGGUGGCGGUGGCGAUACGGCGCCCGCCCGCCCGUCCAGUCCACCGGCUUCGCCAGAAGAUAUAAAAGUGGGACGCGCCCGAGUGGCCGGCGCCACACCGAGCCGCCAGUCAAGAUGUGGUGCUCUCAGACUCUCGUCGUUCUUCUCGCCGCUGGAGCUGUGGUCGCCCAGGAGGCCGCCCAGGCGCCGGAAUUCAUAUGUCCUGAGAACGAGAUCACCGGCAAAUUCGCCGACCCCUACUGGUGUGAUCGCUACUGGGACUGCUUCAAGGGCGAGGCGACUCCUGUGGAUUGUGACGAUGGUACGGCGUUCGACCCGCGCCGCAUCACGCAGGCCAACCCGUGCGACUACAUCUACAAGGUCAACUGUACGGGCCGCGAGGCGCUGGGUGACCCUCUCGGCACCGGCGUCUGCGAGCGCAUGAACGGCGUCUACGCACACGAGGACCCCAACGUCUGUGACAAGUACUACACGUGUGAGAACAACAAGCCAACGCUGCUGGCCUGCGCGCCCGGCCUGCACUUCAACCCGGUCAACCGGCUCUGCGACUGGCCCACCGCGGCCAAGCGCGGCGCCUGUGACGCGCGCACCUCCCUGGACGGCUUCACGUGCGACGACAAGGAGUAUUUCACGCCCAGCGGCCAGAAGAUCGCCCACCCGACCUUCCCGCACCCGGAGGACUGCACCAAGUUCUACGUCUGCAAGGGAGGCCGCGUGCCGGCCCUCUCCGGCUGCGACGAAGGACUGGUCUACAACACUCAGACCAGUAACUGCGACGUGAUUGAAAACGUGCCCGAGUGCGACCCCAACUACACCGACUACGCUUACGAAGAUUACCCAGCGGACGCCGCCGACCCGGCUGCAAACGUCUGAAAAGGCUGUCGCUCGACCUCCAGCUCGGACAGGCGGUCAGCCGCUCGCAGAACUGGCUCCGAAGGUGGUGUGAGGGCCGCGGGGCAGCUCUGACCGGCCGCCGACCUCGGCGCCACCAGCCACCGGCCCCGCGGCCCAGCCACUUCCUGCCUCCGUCGCGGUCAGCCGCCAUUACCGCCCCGUUAUGUCACCACGUGGCCCAUCUCAGGCAGGGGCCUCUGGCGGCACAACUCUCAGUCAGACAGCGCCGCAUGUGAAACGGCGCUCCUCACCAGUUUAUUGUUGUAUUUUGCAGUGUGUCCUAUGAUGUUUUGUGAUGAAUAGGUCAUGUACCUAAUGCAAGCAUUUGACCUGACCUUAGUGGUCAGUGGUCACUGGGGUUUGAACCUUAAUCCUUGACCCGGCCGGGCCCGGGGGGCAUAAGCGUAACUUUAUAUCUCUUUGUGGGUGCUCAAGCACCCCCAAUCCUGAGCUCAGCACCCCCUGUCUUCUU